Molecule: ribosomal RNA, 450 nt
Filed under: uncultured bacterium
Lineage: Bacteria
Description: partial 16S ribosomal RNA
Rfam family: Bacterial small subunit ribosomal RNA
Source: RNAcentral
GUGGGGAAUCUUCCGCAAUGGACGAAAGUCUGACGGAGCAACGCCGCGUGAACGAUGACGGCCUUCGGGUUGUAAAGUUCUGUUAUACGGGACGAAUGGUACGACGGCCAAUACCCGUCGUAAGUGACGGUACCGUAAGAGAAAGCCACGGCUAACUACGUGCCAGCAGCCGCGGUAAUACGUAGGUGGCAAGCGUUGUCCGGAAUUAUUGGGCGUAAAGGGCGCGCAGGCGGCGUCGUAAGUCGGUCUUAAAAGUGCGGGGCUUAACCCCGUGAGGGGACCGAAACUGCGAUGCUAGAGUAUCGGAGAGGAAAGCGGAAUUCCUAGUGUAGCGGUGAAAUGCGUAGAUAUUAGGAGGAACACCAGUGGCGAAGGCGACUUGCUGGCCAGCAACUGACGCUGAGGCGCGAAAGCCAGGGGAGCAAACGGGAUUAGAAACCCCGGUAGUCC